AUGCGUCUCCUGGCCCGGAGAUCCCGAGGGUUGCACAGAGCGCGGGGAACCCCGUCCCCGCAGCCGCUGCGCGCACACACCCGGGGCGCAGCCAGGGGCGGGGAACCCCCGCGCCUCCCCGCCCCAGCGCAGCGAAGCGAGGCGAGGCCCGGCCCGGCCCGGCCCGGCGGGUGCACAGGUGCAAGGCUGCGCCCGAGCGCCCCGGCCCGCGACCCCCGCCCCGACGGACGAGAGGAGUGGGAGCGGCGGGCAGCGCGGAGAGGACCGGCGACGCGACGCCCGCACCCCGGGGGCGCGCGCGGCGUGGCCGCGAGGAGAAAGGAUGCGCGGGGCGGCGCGGGGCGGGGCGGCGGUGGGGGAGGGGUCCCCGGCCCGGACUCCCACUCACCGCGGCGCUCUCCUGGCCCGGGCUCCGCGGCUCGCCCGGCUCGGCUCCGGCCGCUCGCGGCUCCUCCCGAGGCUCACCGUCCAAGCAGGGCGCGCGGGGCCGGGGAGAGGUCGGCGCGCGCCGAGGGCGUGUGGCGAGCCGAGCCGAGGGGGUGGGGAGGCAGGGCCGGUCGCGCUCGCCGCCGCCGCCGCCGGGGCCACCACAGACACAGCCGCCGCCGGCUCCUCUUAGCCACGGAAGCUGCGGGCCCUCCCACCACAGCCGCCUCCCGCCUCCCGCCCCGCCCCGCCGGAGGAGUGGCAGCGCAGCUGGCCAAUCAGAGGCCCAGUCGGGGCAGGGCUCCUCGGCCCAGAGGGGCGUUCGGGGAAGGAAGGGGAACGAGCGAGGAGGGGACGGCGGCGCGACUUCCUGUGACUGACAGCGCGGCGCAGCCAAUGGGCGGCGGGGAGAUGACCUCAUCGCGGAGGGAAGUCUGGAACUGGCGGAGCGGCUCUGAGGAGGUGGGAGGAGGUCGGACCUUAAAGAGGCCGCAGCCCCUGGCCACCCUGUCAGGGGAAGGGCGGCGGGCCGGGUCGGACCGCCCAGUUGCCGAGGGGUCAGUGCCCUGCCGCGAGCCUCCAGACCCCAUCCCGAGCCUCCCCUCAGGGGCUGACGCCCCGCCUGAGGCUCCCAAGUCGGGGUUUCACGGUCACGCUUCCCAGAAGACGAUCGAUUCCCUGAAUUCCCGGGCCAGCCCCCGCCCCACCGAGGCCCCGGCGCCCCGGCCCUCGCAGUCGGUCUCCCCAGGUGGGAAGGGGGGCUCCUCCUGA
This 1197-nucleotide long non-coding RNA is filed under the name Oryctolagus cuniculus (rabbit). RNAcentral describes it as "lncRNA (ENSOCUG00000032374.1)". The record is from RNAcentral. Lineage: Eukaryota; Metazoa; Chordata; Mammalia; Lagomorpha; Leporidae.